This is a non-coding RNA of Mycena filopes, 83 nucleotides long. Lineage: Eukaryota; Fungi; Basidiomycota; Agaricomycetes; Agaricales; Mycenaceae. The record is from the annotation of a GenBank genome assembly.
UCUACUAUGGUACAGUGGCAAUACACCCGCUUCCGUGCAAAAACACGGAAGCGGAGCUGAGGGUUCGAUUCCCUCAGGUAGCA